Molecule: ribosomal RNA, 496 nt
Filed under: uncultured bacterium
Lineage: Bacteria
Description: partial 16S ribosomal RNA
Rfam family: Bacterial small subunit ribosomal RNA
Source: RNAcentral
AACGAACGCUGGCGGCGCGUCUUAAGCAUGCAAGUCGAACGGCAAGAGCGGGGCUUUCUUCUCUCCUCGAGUGGCGGACUGGUGAGGAACACGUGGGUAACCUACCCUUAAGAUGGGGAUAGCUGCUAGAAAUAGCAGGUAAUACCGAAUACACUCGCCAUAUCCCUAGAGGUGUUGAGGAAAGGUCGCUACGGCUUGGCUUGAGGGUGAGCUUGCGUCCCAUUAGCUAGUUGGUGGGGUAAAGGCCCACCAAGGCGACGAUGGGUAUCCGGCCUGAGAGGGUGAACGGACACAUUGGGACUGAGAUACGGCCCAAACUCCUACGGGAGGCAGCAGCUAAGAAUAUUCCGCAAUGGACGGAAGUCUGACGGAGCGACGCCGCGUGGAUGAAGAAGGCUGAAAAGUUGUAAAAUCCUUUUGUUGAUGAAGAAUAAGGGUGAGAGGGAAUGCUCAUCUGAUGACGGUAAUCGACGAAUAAGCCCCGGCUAAUUACGUG